UGGUAAUGCCGGAUGCUCCAGUUGAUCGCAUGGUCUUCUGGGAAAGCCUUUGCGGCAUGGGAUGGGGUCGCGUCCUAUCAGCUUGAUGGCGGGGUAACGGCCCACCAUGGCUUCGACGGGUAGCCGGCCUGAGAGGGCGACCGGCCACAUUGGGACUGAGAUACGGCCCAGACUCCUACGGGAGGCAGCAGUGGGGAAUAUUGCACAAUGGGCGCAAGCCUGAUGCAGCGACGCCGCGUGAGGGAUGGAGGCCUUCGGGUUGUAAACCUCUUUUGUUAGGGAGCAAGGCAUUUUGUGUUGAGUGUACCUUUCGAAUAAGCACCGGCUAACUACGUGCCAGCAGCCGCGGUAAUACGUAGGGUGCAAGCGUUAUCCGGAAUUAUUGGGCGUAAAGGGCUCGUAGGCGGUUCGUCGCGUCCGGUGUGAAAGUCCAUCGCUUAACGGUGGAUCCGCGCCGGGUACGGGCGGGCUUGAGUGCGGUAGGGGAGACUGGAAUUCCCGGUGUAACGGUGGAAUGUGUAGAUAUCGGG
Molecule: ribosomal RNA, 530 nt
Filed under: Bifidobacterium breve
Lineage: Bacteria; Bacillati; Actinomycetota; Actinomycetes; Bifidobacteriales; Bifidobacteriaceae
Description: bacterial SSU rRNA
Rfam family: Bacterial small subunit ribosomal RNA
Source: RNAcentral